GACGAACGCUGGCGGCGUGCUUAACACAUGCAAGUCGAGCGGUAAGGCCCCUUCGGGGGUACACGAGCGGCGAACGGGUGAGUAACACGUGAGCAAUCUGCCCAUCACAUCGGGAUAACUCCGGGAAACCGAAGCUAAUACCGAAUACGACCACCUCCGGCAUCGGCUGGUGGUGGAAAGUUCCGGCGGUGAUGGAUGAGCUCGCGGCCUAUCAGCUUGUUGGUGGGGUAACGGCCCACCAAGGCUUCGACGGGUAGCCGGCCUGAGAGGUGACCGGCCACACUGGGACUGAGACACGGCCCAGACUCCUACGGGAGGCAACAGUGGGGAAUAUUGGACAAUGGGCGAAAGCCUGAUCCAGCAACGCCGCGUGAGGGAUGACGGCCUUCGGGUUGUAAACCUCUUUCAGCAGGGACGAAGCGCAAGUGACGGUACCUGCAGAAGAAGCACCGGCCAACUACGU
Molecule: ribosomal RNA, 463 nt
Filed under: uncultured bacterium
Lineage: Bacteria
Description: partial 16S ribosomal RNA
Rfam family: Bacterial small subunit ribosomal RNA
Source: RNAcentral